This 109-nucleotide ribosomal RNA is filed under the name Enterococcus faecium. Its description in RNAcentral is "partial 23S ribosomal RNA". It matches the Rfam family "Bacterial large subunit ribosomal RNA", at positions 2815 to 2925 of the family's 2925-position model. Lineage: Bacteria; Bacillati; Bacillota; Bacilli; Lactobacillales; Enterococcaceae. The record is from RNAcentral.
UUCUUUAAGAAAGUAAGAUCCCUGAGAGAUGAUCAGGUAGAUAGGUCAGGAGUGGAAGUACAGUGAUGUAUGGAGCGGACUGAUACUAAUCGAUCGAGGACUUAACCAA